AUCGAACGCUGGCGGCAGGCCUAACACAUGCAAGUCGAACGGAUGGCGGACGGGUGAGUAGUGGCGGGAAAACUGGCCGAUGGAGGGGGAGAACUACUGGAAAAGGUAGAUAAUACCGCAUACCAUCGGAUGGGCCCAUAUGGGAGUAGGUAGUAGUGAGGGUAAAGGCUCACCGAGGCGACGACCCCUAGCUGGUCUGAGAGGAUAACCGGCCACGCUGGAACUGAGACACGGUCCAGACUCCUACGGGAGGCAGCAGUGGGGAAUAUUGCACAAUGGGCGCAAGCCUGAUGCAGCCAUGCCGCGUGUGUGAAGAAGGCUUUCGGGUUGUAAAGCUCUUUCAGCGGGGAGGCGUUACCCGCCGAAGAAGCACCGGCUAACUCCGUGCCAGCAGCCGCGGUAAUUC
RNAcentral lists this ribosomal RNA (406 nucleotides) under uncultured bacterium. RNAcentral describes it as "partial 16S ribosomal RNA". It matches the Rfam family "Bacterial small subunit ribosomal RNA", at positions 29 to 526 of the family's 1533-position model. The record is from RNAcentral.